UUGAUAAUUAUCAGAUGUAACAGGUAUCC
Molecule: small RNA, 29 nt
Filed under: Bombyx mori (domestic silkworm)
Lineage: Eukaryota; Metazoa; Arthropoda; Insecta; Lepidoptera; Bombycidae
Description: ovarian small RNA-37724
Source: RNAcentral